This is a long non-coding RNA of Bos taurus (domestic cattle), 580 nucleotides long. NCBI's taxonomy places the organism in Eukaryota, Metazoa, Chordata, Mammalia, Artiodactyla, Bovidae. The record is from Ensembl.
GGUAAACUCAAAGAUGAAGAAGAACGAGCAAGGGAAAAAUGCAGCCUUUAAGACCUGACUGUAUCCCUCCUGAGGGUCUGCAUGAGCUGUCCCUUCUGUCUGCAGUCUUUUCCUUCAGGUCUUCGUCUGCUGGCUGGACCCCUCAGCAGGGUCCAGGUUUAGCCCACAUGAACUCGAUCACACCUGUCUGGUUCCCCACAAGUUUCUGGAGGGAUGCCUGACACAUCAUAGCCCCUCAGAAAAUUAAUUCUCAGGUCUUGUGGAACAAAGUCCAGCAUCUGGCUGGCAGGUCGUCUGGCUGCGGGCUCUUCUAGGAAGUCCCAAGUUCUCUGCCUCCUCUUGCUCCUCAGGGUUCCCAGGCCAUCACCUGCGGGAGGUUUCUCCAGCUUUCUACCACCAUUCCCAACUAAAAAGAGUUCCUCUGAAAAACACUGAGGCCACUGUGGGGCUUUCUCACAUUCUUCUUUAAUGGGACAGCACAAAAAUUAUACGCAAAUGGAAAUGUCACUUAACAAAAGUGUUUCCUCCAAGUGAAUCCUCUGUAGACAAGUCAGUCUGGCUUUCCAAGACUGUCCCAGCA